CAAUCUCCGCUCUUUAGGCCUCCUGUGUUUCUUUCUCCUGUGUUUCUUUGUGUCAGGUUUGUCACAACAGUGCUCUUCCUUGGAGAAGGCUUGGGACUCCAGUCUAACGGCAACUAGUGCGCGGGUAGCCCAACUUACUAGGCCAUGUCGCUGGAAAAUCGCGCAGUUGUUCCCUGGCGGUCGGACAAUAAAGGGCCCCAGAGUGUAGGCAGCAUCUCGCGGGCAGCCGGAGGUGGCCGGCCGCCUGGAUUUGAAGAAGGGGUUCCGAGGGAGGGGCGGGCGCGGGACUUGCAAAAGUUCCCUUGAACUCUUGGGACACGUCGGAGGUGAGACUGCCAGAGCUCCGGCAACCAACCGCUUCCACCCGUGCCCUUCUCCUGGGGAGGGGACCUCGGCGGGGCUCAACAAAUGGUGGCUUCGCGGGCCUCUCCAGGGGAUUCAUUAUUGGUUUAUAUAGAAGCUAUUGAUUUUUGUUAGCACAAAAUGACCAAGCUGGGUGCAAACUUCACAGAUCAGCACAGCCUUUAUUCAGCAGUGGAGUUGUGCAUCUGGUGGACCCACUUUUCUCAUGGAAAAUGAGCCACUGGCCAAAGGAGGAAUCUGUGCUUAUUAUAUAUGUUACACUGAGCGAUGACUUGAUUAUUGAUAGAGCAUGUCAGUUUGGGCACUCAGGAAACAGGUAUAGAUGGACACAGCACAAUGCUGGUGCUGAGGAUCG
Molecule: long non-coding RNA, 718 nt
Organism: Marmota flaviventris (yellow-bellied marmot)
Lineage: Eukaryota; Metazoa; Chordata; Mammalia; Rodentia; Sciuridae
Source: RefSeq, a predicted model, not a curated record